RNAcentral lists this unclassified non-coding RNA (679 nucleotides) under Hevea brasiliensis (rubber tree). Lineage: Eukaryota; Viridiplantae; Streptophyta; Magnoliopsida; Malpighiales; Euphorbiaceae. The record is from RNAcentral.
AUCCUAAUAAAAAAUGUAAAUAUGUUGUGUAGAGAAAAAGCAAACACUCAAAACUUUACUCUUAAUUCACAAUACACACAAAUCAACUUUGUAUUCCCUACAAGUUAGAACUAAAGAAAUGACCGUAACACAAAGAUCUUGAAAUGGCAGAUGUCUUCAGAAAAUUGACGUUGAACUUCAAUCACACCCUGAAAGGAAUCGAUAUUGUGCGACUUUUUUAGCAUGAAAGGCUAUGGCCCUGAAGAAGAUAGAUCAGAGCCAGCAAAUUCCAAUUCUUAUCCAAUCCAAAUAUCCAGGCAGAAAAAGCAGGGAAUAUCUAGGAAUUCUGGCCCAAAACUGAGUCCCUGAUUAUAUCCUUUCACAGCUAGUUUAAAAGCAGCAAGCGUAUAAUUGAGGAGGGUGGUGGUCACAAAAUUGAAAGCAAUUGAAAGUAGUAGGAAAACCAUGCACAUGCCUCUGCCCUCUGCCCACCUGCACAUGCUGCCUGUCUCUUCUGCCCCCACACUAAUAGACCCACUUCAAUUUUUUUUCUUCUUCUCAAUGAUCAGCCAUCAAAAGUCUCAUUUCACACCAGUAACUCAAAAGGUUACCACUAAUUAAUGCCUGUAGUUAGAUAUUCAACUAACUAGAUAUGCUUCUUUUUGGUCACACUUACUAUAAUUUUGUUCUUUUGGGUUAA